UACAGAGGGUGCAAGCGUUAUCCGGAUUUACUGGGUUUAAAGGGUGCGUAGGUGGGUCUGUAAGUCAGUGGUGAAAUCCUCCAGCUUAACUGGAGAACUGCCAUUGAUACUGGGAGACUUGAGUACAGACGAGGUAGGCGGAAUUGACAGUGUAGCGGUGAAAUGCAUAGAUAUUGUCAAGAACACCGAUUGCGAAGGCAGCUUACUAGACUGUAACUGACGCUGAGGCACGAAAGUGUGGGGAUCAAACAGG
RNAcentral lists this ribosomal RNA (253 nucleotides) under uncultured bacterium. RNAcentral's name for it is "partial 16S ribosomal RNA". It matches the Rfam family "Bacterial small subunit ribosomal RNA", at positions 524 to 776 of the family's 1533-position model. The record is from RNAcentral.